Molecule: ribosomal RNA, 253 nt
Filed under: uncultured bacterium
Lineage: Bacteria
Description: partial 16S ribosomal RNA
Rfam family: Bacterial small subunit ribosomal RNA
Source: RNAcentral
UACGGGGGGGGCAAGCGUUGUUCGGAAUUACUGGGCGUAAAGGGCUUGUAGGUGGCCAACUAAGUCAGACGUGAAAUCCCUCGGCUUAACCGGGGAACUGCGUCUGAUACUGGAUGGCUUGAGUUUGGGAGAGGGACGCGGAAUUCCAGGUGUAGCGGUGAAGUGCGUAGAUAUCUGGAGGAACACCGGUGGCGAAGGCGGCGUCCUGGACCAACACUGACACUGAAAAGCGAAAGCCAGGGGAGCAAACGGG